Molecule: long non-coding RNA, 2825 nt
Organism: Panicum virgatum (switchgrass)
Lineage: Eukaryota; Viridiplantae; Streptophyta; Magnoliopsida; Poales; Poaceae
Exons: 5
Source: RefSeq, a predicted model, not a curated record
UACCCACCGCCGCCGCCGAGCCCAGCACGCGCUCCGAUUUCCCAAUCCCGGCGCCCGGUCGCCGGCUCGCCGCUCCCUCCCCCAGAAGCGUCCCCAAUCCCGGCAUCCCACCUUCCUCAUCCCGGCGCGUCUCGGCCUCCCGUCGGCGACCCUCGGGCCAUCGCGGUGUAGCGCUGCGCGGCCGGCUCCCAUCCCGCCCCGGCGAUUCAUUCCGCUCGUUGCGUCGUCGCCCAUUCCGAGUUCCGCCGCCGCCGCCCGUUCCGAGCUCCUCCGCCGUCGUCUCGGUCGACCGCGGGCCGAAGUCCUGCGACCUGAUCCACCUAACACGCGGGAACUCAUACAUCAGUUCGCCAUCGUUCGUGACUCCGUUCCGAGCUCCGCAAGGUCGCUCCGCUCCCGUCGCCGUCGCCCCCAGGUGCAAGCCGGACUGCCGGGCAACAUCGAUGGUUGAAAAGAUUCUCCAGCUAGCUGCCCAUAUCACCUACAAAAAUCACAUACCCCGUGCACCAAAUUGCUCAGUCCCUCCAAUUUCCCUAUCCAUCCUUCAAUCCCCACGGCCACAGAUCCAUUCCGUCGCAAUCGCUGCACACCGCGUCCACAGAUCAAGAAGCGUAGUGCACAGGAGAUGGAGAAUCAAAUUGGUUUGCUUCUUUUAUUUUCCACGUCUUCUUGGCUGUGAAUCUGGAAGCCCAAAUUUUGGACGAUGCAGGUUGUAGCAGCAGUUGCAUAUGUGCCGCUCGCCGCCGGCGGAUGGGGCCACGUGCAGAGGCGAUGGGAUGGGAAGCGACGUCACCGUGUGCUUCACCGUCAAGGGAGCCUGUACUUGCUGCUGAGUGCAUGAUCCCCUCAAUUCGACCAUCCCUGUCCCAGCGGCCCAGCCGAAUUUGUGCUCCCUGCUCUUGUCCCCUGUUCUUCUUCACUGGAUACAGGUACUUCUAUAUCCUUUUCUUUUGUGAGCUGCUAGCCUGCUACUGCUUGUGUGUUUCUAAUUGCUGCAUUCAGUAUACAUACCUAUCUGGGUGAUCAAAACUCAGUGUAUGAGCUUACAAAUGAUACAAUAUCUCAUGGAUUGUGAUUGUUUCAGUUGGCUGUGCAAUUUAUGAGCUAUUCAGUAUUCACUCAUAGUUAACUGUUGCUGCUGCUGGAACGUUGUAGCAAAAGAUUUAGAACUAUGAUUUAUUACAAAUAUUCUAACUGCUGCUGCUAAGCCACAGUAACACAAUGUUUGCACGUAUUCUUGUUGAUAUAUAUACACACCAACAAUUUAUUCCCUGUUCUUGUGGGUGUCACACCAGACACUGACACAAUGUCAAUUUGCGGGAUUAUAUUGGUUCUCAGCAGGGUUCAAGAGCAUGCGGGAAAGCUGGAGACGUAUGAGCUUCCCAUCUGAUCAGUGCAUGCAGGGAGGGUUCUGAGCUUAGACAUGAUUGUUGUAUAACAGAUUAUGAAUUUUUAUUGAGUGAACAGCACCAUGGUAUCCUGGUACUGAUUCUUGCGUGGACGGGCAACCAUAUACUCUUUUAGCAUAUGGCCAUGUUACUAGCAAACUGUUGUUUUAGCUACUACUUAUUUUUUCUUUAGGGAAACUAUUCAACUGGAACGGAUUGGGAUUUACCAAUGUUGCUAUUCUAUCCAAUCAUGUGUAGACAAUGUAAUGCGUAACCUGUUUAUUCGACUUAAUCUGUCACUAGUUUCAUAUUCUUUUUGUCAGUAUAAAAAAUGUUAGAAAGGAGAAUUUCUUCACUAGUUAACACAUAAUAAUGGGCUAGUGCAGAUAGUAAAGAUUUGUAUUUAGUUUUCUAUGAGCGUAUCCUAUCACAAGCAGCUUUGUCCAUCUUAGUUUAUUUUGAUUUGGUGUUCUUGAUGCUCAGUUUUGUGUGUUUUAAUAGGUUUGUUGAAGUGCAAAGUAAAGAAUGGAUAAAAUAAAGUAGACUAAUUCUUUUACUUCAAUUUCAGCUGUAAGAUUCAUGUGGAAAUCCAUAUAUGCUUUAUUUUUAGUUUAAUGUAGCUAGGUGCCACUAUGUGUCCUACUGAUUCAUAAACCAUUUUGAUAUCUGAGACUUUUUAAAUUGGUUAUGACAAAUGGUCCUGCUUACUUGUUAAUGGACAUGAAGUGCAUCCAGGCACGCUGCCGUUCGACAUCCACUCAUGCAAGAUUUGUUAUCUCAGCCGCUGCCCUGUCUUGCUCGAUGGCCUUUCCAUGUAAUGAGUGAUUUGUUUGCCUAGUUUGAUGCCACCGUCUCGUAGAAGAAAGAGGACCAUUGUGACAGCUCAAUGAAACAUUGUGAGAGCUCAGUUUCAGCUGGCUGCUCAGUGCGGUGUGAUUGUUGAUGAGUUUAUUGCUGCAUGGAGAUCAUCUGAUACAAUCAUCAGAGGGGAUGCAUCGAGCAGGUGCAUUGGAGCAAAUUAGGAUGACUGAUAUCAUUCUCAGCAUAUCGGUGCAUUCGGACGUGCGGGUAAUCUAUCCAGAAGUCUCUUAAUGACUGUCUUCUUUGCAAUGAAAAUUCUGGAAUACUGUGAUGGUGAAGGCUGUGCCUGCCUAAAAGACUAAUAUAGAUCUGGCACGAUCAACUAGGAUGAGGGAUGAGAUGCUGCAUUACCUUACUUUUCACACAGCUAACAUGGUGGAAUACUUAACCGACAAGCUUCUCUAGUUUAGUAUUGAAGGGUUCCCCUUCCAUUUAAAUAUUUAUCUGAAGUAUAAUGUGUGCUAGCUAGAUUAGUGUCCCAGUGCCUUUUUUCAUUGUACAUAUAUACAUGUUACCCUGCUACACAAAUUAACUUGGUGAACAAAUAUGCUGCUAGUAAAGUCAGUCUGUUGUAUU